GAGCACUUUCCCCCAUGCUGUUCUUAUGAUAGUGAGUGAGUUCUCAAGAGAUCUGAUGGUUUUAUAAGCAUCUGGCAUUUCUCCCACUGGCAUUCAUUCUCUCUCCUGCUGCCCUGUGAAGAGGAGCCUUCAGCCAUGAUUUUAAGUUUCCUGAUGCCUCCCCAGCUAUGCAGAACUGGUGUCACUCUGUCACCCAGGCUGGAGUGCAGUGGCAUGAUCACAGCUCACUGCAGCCUUGACCUUCCAAGCCCAAUCCAUCCUUCCACCUCAGCCUCCUGAGUAGCUGAUACUACAGAUUUUUGCAUUUCUGACUACUGAUGGCUCCACCUGAACUCAUGAACUGGUCCUGUGGCUCCCACCCAGGAACCAACUCAGUGCAAGAGGAUGGCUUCGACUCUAUGAUUUCAUCUAUCACCCAACCAAUCAGAACUCCCCACUCCUUGGCCUCCUACCCACCAAACUAUCCUUGAAAAGCCCUAGUCUCUGAACUUUUGAGGGGACCAAUUUGAGUAAUAAUAAAGCUCCAGGCUCCCAUUCAGCUGGCUUGGCAUGAAUUAAUCUCUUUCUCUAUUGCAAUCCCCCUGUCUUGAUGAAUUGGCUGUAUCUGG
Molecule: long non-coding RNA, 608 nt
Filed under: Homo sapiens (human)
Lineage: Eukaryota; Metazoa; Chordata; Mammalia; Primates; Hominidae
Description: HSALNT0365023
Source: RNAcentral